Molecule: transfer RNA, 76 nt
Filed under: Acidobacteriota bacterium
Lineage: Bacteria; Pseudomonadati; Acidobacteriota
Also listed under: 3 other names
Description: tRNA-Lys
Rfam family: tRNA
About the family: Transfer RNA (tRNA) molecules are approximately 80 nucleotides in length. Their secondary structure includes four short double-helical elements and three loops (D, anti-codon, and T loops).
Source: RNAcentral
GGGCGCGUAGCUCAAUUGGCAGAGCAACUGACUCUUAAUCAGUAGGUUGUAGGUUCGAUUCCCACCGCGCUCACCA